RNAcentral lists this ribosomal RNA (717 nucleotides) under uncultured bacterium. Its description in RNAcentral is "bacterial SSU rRNA". It matches the Rfam family "Bacterial small subunit ribosomal RNA", at positions 8 to 722 of the family's 1533-position model. The record is from RNAcentral.
AGAGUUUGAUCAUGGCUCAGAUUGAACGCUGGCGGCAUGCCUUACACAUGCAAGUCGAACGGUAACGCGGGGCAACCUGGCGACGAGUGGCGAACGGGUGAGUAAUGCAUCGGAACGUGCCCAGUAGUGGGGGAUAGCCCGGCGAAAGCCGGAUUAAUACCGCAUACGACCUGUGGGUGAAAGCGGGGGACCGCAAGGCCUCGCGCUAUUGGAGCGGCCGAUGUCAGAUUAGGUUGUUGGUGGGGUAAAGGCCUACCAAGCCGACGAUCUGUAGCUGGUCUGAGAGGACGACCAGCCACACUGGGACUGAGACACGGCCCAGACUCCUACGGGAGGCAGCAGUGGGGAAUUUUGGACAAUGGGCGCAAGCCUGAUCCAGCCAUGCCGCGUGCGGGAAGAAGGCCUUCGGGUUGUAAACCGCUUUUGUCAGGGAAGAAAUCUUCUGGGCUAACACCCCGGGAGGAUGACGGUACCUGAAGAAUAAGCACCGGCUAACUACGUGCCAGCAGCCGCGGUAAUACGUAGGGUGCGAGCGUUAAUCGGAAUUACUGGGCGUAAAGCGUGCGCAGGCGGUCUUGCAAGACAGAUGUGAAAUCCCCGGGCUUAACCUGGGAACUGCAUUUGUGACUGCAAGGCUGGAGUGCGGCAGAGGGGGAUGGAAUUCCGCGUGUAGCAGUGAAAUGCGUAGAUAUGCGGAGGAACACCGAUGGCGAAGGC